CAUGUCAGCGCGCUUUGCUGACGUGGCAACAAAUCGCGUCCACGAGGGGGCGAUUUGUUGCCACAUCAGCAAAGCGCGUUGACGUGG
Non-coding RNA from Gossypium raimondii (Peruvian cotton), 87 nucleotides. The record is from Rfam. NCBI's taxonomy places the organism in Eukaryota, Viridiplantae, Streptophyta, Magnoliopsida, Malvales, Malvaceae.